UGCAUGAAGAUGAUUUUGUUAGGAUUGUGAGAUUCAAAGAGCCCUGAGACACAAAACCAUCCAAGAGUUUCAUUGAAAAACUUUUAUUCUUUAUAUUUAUGACACUGAAAUACAAUUUGCAUAAUAAUUGUGAACAUACUGUAUAUUACAAUGUAUAUAUAGUGUCUAAUUUUCAGGAAGAAUUAUGGCCCCGAUCCAAUAAAGUUGACAUUUAAUUUAGCUUGUGCCACCUGUGAUUGGAAAUGAAAACUAAUGUAUUUGUCCAUAAUGUUGUUGACUUGUUCGUGGAAGCACAGAUACUCACUCUCGAGACUUUUUAUGAUGAUUUGUUGUUCCACAGUUUUGAUGCCUGUAAAACAAUCUUUAGUCGUGCACAUUUCACAUUGGGAUUACUGUGAAGAUAGUGUAUUUAUCCUGACUGACAUUUGACCAGAAGUGCUGCACAUGCGCCAUACGAGAUUACGAUUUCGCUUAUUGGGCCGUGUCUUUAUUAUAAAUCGUAGCAAGUGGCGUCGGCGUCCUGGUCCACACGGUUUGAUCUGUCCACACUGCAGACGUGAACAGUAACAGUGAAUUAUUCUCAAACUAUUUUGCAUCCUGGGAGAGUUUUUCCAGUGUUUCCGGCAGAGUCAGAUGCUCCUUCAGCUGUGGAUCCUUGUUCUGUCUCUGUCGUCUCUGUCUGGGCGGCUCUGACCUCCUCACUCUGAGUCGACUCUUCUCUGUUUUCAGGACUUUGAUCAUUAAGUUGUGUUUUACCAACAUUAGAGCAUAAAUCAUUGAUCUCUGUUUCAUCCACGACAGUCACCUUCUCUUCUCUUUCCCCAGACUCCUGAGCAGCUGCUGCCAGAUGUUUCUUCUCCUUCGUCAUGAGUUCAAACUAUGCCUUCACCUUAACUUUCCUCUCAUCUUUUUUCCGAAUUUUCUCGUCAAUUUUCUUAAUUUCUUUGUCUGUCUGAUCAAUGAUGCGACUGAACUCUCUAAUGUGUUCCCUUUUUUUGCUAUUGUAUCAUGUUCUUUCUUUUUGUCUUUGCUUUGGUUCGGUAACUUUUUUCCUUUUCCCUUAAUACCUUGAUGUCUUCCUCCAGAUCAUACUUACAUUGACGCAUUUUGUCUUUAAGCUUUACCAAAAAGUCCUUUGACUCCAACAGUUUCUCAGACUCUUCAAUAAACUGUAUUUCCUCUGAGAUCCUCAAACAGGCCUCCUUGUAUUCAUUCAGCUUCUGCUCAACACUGUGUGGUUUUGUCUCUGUUUUCAGCAUCGGCACCGACUCUUCAGUUUCCUCCAGUUUGGCCUUUGUGAUCUCACUCUCUGUUU
Molecule: long non-coding RNA, 1315 nt
Filed under: Neogobius melanostomus (round goby)
Lineage: Eukaryota; Metazoa; Chordata; Actinopteri; Gobiiformes; Gobiidae
Description: lncRNA (ENSNMLG00000017475.1)
Source: RNAcentral